Long non-coding RNA from Motacilla alba alba, 269 nucleotides. RefSeq lists it as uncharacterized. The transcript is spliced from 3 exons. The record is from RefSeq and is a predicted model, not a curated record. NCBI's taxonomy places the organism in Eukaryota, Metazoa, Chordata, Aves, Passeriformes, Motacillidae.
CGGGGCUGAGCGCGGCUCGGGCGGGCGGCAGCGGAGCCACGGAGCUGCCCGGGUCCGGAUGCCGGCAGGAUGGCGCUGGUCCCCGUCGUGGCGCUCUUGGCUCUGUGCCCCCUCCUCGCCCGGGCAGACCAUCCUCCUGUCACCGUCACGGUGACAGCGGCCAUCGGCGAGGACGCCUGCCUGCCCUGCGGCACGCAGCCCUGGGGUGACCUGCGCGGGGUCACCCUCAGCUGCACCCACCAGGCUGGCGGCCACCACGCCGUCCCCGU